RNAcentral lists this ribosomal RNA (253 nucleotides) under uncultured bacterium. RNAcentral's name for it is "partial 16S ribosomal RNA". It matches the Rfam family "Bacterial small subunit ribosomal RNA", at positions 524 to 776 of the family's 1533-position model. The record is from RNAcentral.
GACAGAGGGUGCAAGCGUUGUUCGGAAUCAUUGGGCGUAAAGGGCGCGUAGGCGGUUCAAUAAGUCUAAUGUGAAAUACCUGGGCUUAACCCAGGAAGUGCAUUGGAUACUGUUAAACUAGAGUCUCGAAGAGGGUGGUGGAAUUCCCAGUGUAGAGGUGAAAUUCGUAGAUAUUGGGAGGAACAUCAGUGGCGAAGGCGUCCACCUGGUCGAAGACUGACGCUGAGGCGCGAAAGCGUGGGUAGCAAACAGG